RNAcentral lists this non-coding RNA (27 nucleotides) under Mus musculus (house mouse). The record is from RNAcentral. Lineage: Eukaryota; Metazoa; Chordata; Mammalia; Rodentia; Muridae.
UUGCUAUUGAUGUUGCCCUGGAUGGCC